This 27-nucleotide non-coding RNA is filed under the name Homo sapiens (human). Lineage: Eukaryota; Metazoa; Chordata; Mammalia; Primates; Hominidae. The record is from RNAcentral.
UACAAAGUGCUGGCACCUGGUGAGGAU